AUUGAACGCUGGCGGCAUGCCUUACACAUGCAAGUCGAACGGUAACAGGUUAAGCUGACGAGUGGCGAACGGGUGAGUAAUAUAUCGGAACGUGCCCAGUCGUGGGGGAUAACGUAGCGAAAGCUACGCUAAUACCGCAUACGAUCUACGGAUGAAAGCGGGGGAUCGCAAGACCUCGCGCGAUUGGAGUGGCCGAUAUCAUAUUAGGUUGUUGGUGAGGUAAAAGCUCACCAAGCCUGCGAUCUGUAGCUGGUCUGAGAGGACGACCAGCCACACUGGAACUGAGACACGGUCCAGACUCCUACGGGAGGCAGCAGUGGGGAAUUUUGGACAAUGGACGCAAGUCUGAUCCAGCAAUGCCGCGUGCAGGACGAAGGCCUUCGGGUUGUAAACUGCUUUUGUACGGAACGAAACGGUGAGCUCUAAUACAGUUUGCUAAUGACGGUACCGUAAGAAUAAGCACCGGCUAACUACGUGCCAGCCGCCGCAGUAA
Molecule: ribosomal RNA, 493 nt
Filed under: uncultured bacterium
Lineage: Bacteria
Description: partial 16S ribosomal RNA
Rfam family: Bacterial small subunit ribosomal RNA
Source: RNAcentral